Molecule: ribosomal RNA, 479 nt
Filed under: uncultured bacterium
Lineage: Bacteria
Description: partial 16S ribosomal RNA
Rfam family: Bacterial small subunit ribosomal RNA
Source: RNAcentral
GACGAACGCUGGCGGCGUGCUUAACACAUGCAAGUCGAGCGAAGAAGCACCUUCGGGUGUGAAUUAGCGGCGAACGGGUGAGGAACACGUGAGAAAUCUGCCUUCAACACUGGGAUAACUCCGGGAAACCGGGGCUAAUACCGGAUAUGAAACCUGCGGGCAUCCGCGGGUUUGGAAAGUUUUUCGGUUGAAGAUGAUCUCGCGGCCUAUCAGCUUGUUGGUGAGGUAAUGGCUCACCAAGGCGACGACGGGUAGUCGGCCUGAGAGGGCGACCGGCCACACUGGGACUGAGACACGGCCCAGACUCCUACGGGAGGCAGCAGUGGGGAAUAUUGGGCAAUGGAGGAAACUCUGACCCAGCGACGCCGCGUGCGGGAUGAAGGCCUUCGGGUUGUAAACCGCUUUCAGCAGGGAAGAAGCGAAAGUGACGGUACCUGCAGAAGAAGCACCGGCUAACUAUGUGCCAGCAGCCGCAGUAA